Molecule: ribosomal RNA, 427 nt
Filed under: uncultured Acidobacteriota bacterium
Lineage: Bacteria; Pseudomonadati; Acidobacteriota
Description: bacterial SSU rRNA
Rfam family: Bacterial small subunit ribosomal RNA
Source: RNAcentral
AACGCGAAGAACCUUACCUGGGCUUGAACCGCACAGGACCAUUCCUAGAAAUAGGGACUUCCCGCAAGGGACCUGUGUAGAGGUGCUGCAUGGCUGUCGUCAGCUCGUGCCGUGAGGUGUUGGGUUAAGUCCCGCAACGAGCGCAACCCUUACUCGUAGUUGCCACCCGCAAGGGGGAACUCUACGAGGACUGCUCCGGAUAACGGAGAGGAAGGUGGGGAUGAGGUCAAGUCAGCAUGGCCUUUAUGUCCAGGGCUACACACGUGUUACAAUGCGCGCCACAAAGCGUCGCGAACCCGCGAGGGGGAGCUAAUCGCAAAAAAGCGCGCUCAGUUCGGAUUGCAGUCUGCAACUCGACUGCAUGAAGCCGGAAUCGCUAGUAAUGGCGCAUCAGAACGGCGCCGUGAAUACGUUCCCGGGCCUUGUA